CAAUAGCGUAUAUUAAAGUUGUUGCAGUUAAAAAGCUCGUAGUUGGAUUUCUGGCUGGGCGCCGAUGUGACACAAAGUGCUCACAAGGCACCGGCCAUCCUUCUGUAAACUAGGUUAGUCUUUGAUUAGACUGCUUAGGGAUCAGAUAAUUUACCUUGAGAAAAUUAGAGUGUUUCAGGCAGGCUUAGCCGGAAUACAUUAGCAUGGAAUAAUGGAAUAGGACUAUGGUCUCGUUGUUGGUUUGAGGGAUCGCAGUAAUGAUUAAUAGGGAUAGUUGGGGGCAUUAGUAUUUAUUAGCUAGAGGUGGAAUUCUCUAAUUUAAUAAAGACUAACUUAUGCGAAAGCAUUUGCCAAGGAUGUUUNCAUUA
Molecule: ribosomal RNA, 368 nt
Filed under: uncultured eukaryote
Lineage: Eukaryota
Description: partial 18S ribosomal RNA
Rfam family: Eukaryotic small subunit ribosomal RNA
Source: RNAcentral